RNAcentral lists this ribosomal RNA (446 nucleotides) under uncultured bacterium. RNAcentral describes it as "partial 16S ribosomal RNA". It matches the Rfam family "Bacterial small subunit ribosomal RNA", at positions 330 to 792 of the family's 1533-position model. The record is from RNAcentral.
GCCAGACUCCUACGGGAGGCAGCAGUAGGGAAUAUUGCACAAUGGGGGAAACCCUGAUGCAGCGACGCCGCGUGGGUGAAGAAGUAUUUCGGUAUGUAAAGCCCUAUCAGCAGGGAAGAAGAAUGACGGUACCUGACUAAGAAGCACCGGCUAAAUACGUGCCAGCAGCCGCGGUAAUACGGAGGGUGCAAGCGUUGUCCGGAAUCAUUGGGCGUAAAGAGUUCGUAGGUGGCAUAUUAAGUCUGGUGUUAAAUGCAGAAGCUCAACUUCUGUUCGGCACUGGAUACUGGUAAGCUUGAAUGCGGUAGAGGUAAAGGGAAUUCCUGGUGUAGCGGUGAAAUGCGUAGAUAUCAGGAGGAACAUCGGUGGCGUAAGCGCUUUACUGGGCCGUAAUUGACACUGAGGAACGAAAGCCGGGGUAGCAAAUGGGAUUAGAUACCCUAGUA